This is a long non-coding RNA of Carassius auratus (goldfish), 798 nucleotides long. RefSeq lists it as uncharacterized. The transcript has 3 exons. The record is from RefSeq and is a predicted model, not a curated record. Lineage: Eukaryota; Metazoa; Chordata; Actinopteri; Cypriniformes; Cyprinidae.
UCUUUCUAACAAGAAGAAGAAAAGUCAGGCAAAUCUACUACGGCCUUUUUCUCAGGACCCGAUACCGCAUGGGGCCCGUUUGCAUAUCUCUGCCCUCAUCACUCACAAACUCAUUCAGUACGGAGUUAGACGCACUAGCAGGAAAUCCGUUUCACAGAAUGGCUACUCCAUAUACUCGUCCAGGAAGAAUUACGUGCAAAUGCAUUCAGACCCGUGUGAUAAAUAAAGCUGAAACAUUUAUAUACACACAACAGUCUAAAAUUGAACCUGCAACAUACAGGACAACUUCAGUCUGUGCCCUCACGAAUAAUGUCUUGACCUACCUACACAAAAGAUCUGGCCCAGACCCCGAAUUUGAGGAAGGAGCUAGCUACAUUUUAAAGAAUGUGACCGUCUCUACCAGAGAUGGGCUAGCGCAUUUACUAGUCGGGCCAGCAACACAGAGAUUUCGUACACAAGAUGCACUCUGUCCACCCUCUAAACCCAUAUCUGGCAACGAAGACAACAUGUACUUUACGCAUGGAUAUAUUACUCUUCAAGGCCAAGUGAAAAAACUACAAAAAGUGAGGAUGACACGAUCCUCGAUUCCCAUUUUAAAUUUAAAGCUGCUGUGUGGUCCUGAUCAACUUGAUAUCUCCCUGUGGAAAGAAGAAACUCUUUGUGGCUUACACAUUGGAGAUGACGUAGAGAUCACCCACCUUUAUGGUGACAAGGUGCCUCGAGGAAGAAGUAGUUUUCAUUCCUCUCAGUAUACAACUGUUAAGGUAAUCAUAAUACAAUCUUUACAAAAAUGUAAAG